AGAGUUUGAUCAUGGCUCAGAACGAACGCUGGCGGCGUGCUUAACACAUGCAAGUCGAACGCGAAAGUUUUCUUCGGAAAACGAGUAGAGUGGCGCACGGGUGAGUAACGCGUAAGUUAUCUACCCUCCCAUCUGGAAUAACCCACCGAAAGGUGUGCUAAUACCGGAUACGUUGGAAACAAGAAAGGUGGCCUCUAUUUAUAAGCUACCGUGGGGGGAUGAGCUUGCGUACCAUUAGCUAGUUGGUAGGGUAAUGGCCUACCAAGGCGACGAUGGUUAGCGGGUCUGAGAGGAUGAUCCGCCACACUGGAACUGAAACACGGACCAGACUCCUACGGGAGGCAGCAGUGAGGAAUAUUGCGCAAUGGGGGAAACCCUGACGCAGCGACGCCGCGUGGAUGAUGAAGGCCCUUGGGUCGUAAAAUCCUGUCAGUUGGGAAGAAAUGCAUAUUGGCUAAUACCCAUUAUGUUUGACGGUACCAGCAAAGGAAGCACCGGCUAACUCCGUGCCAGCAGCCGCGGUAAUACGGAGGGUGCAAGCGUUGUUCGGAAUUACUGGGCGUAAAGCGCACGUAGGUGGUCUAUUAAGUCAGAUGUGAAAGUCCCUGGCUCAACUGGGGAAGUGCAUAUG
This 631-nucleotide ribosomal RNA is filed under the name uncultured delta proteobacterium. Its description in RNAcentral is "bacterial SSU rRNA". It matches the Rfam family "Bacterial small subunit ribosomal RNA", at positions 8 to 629 of the family's 1533-position model. Lineage: Bacteria; Deltaproteobacteria. The record is from RNAcentral.